CCUACGGGCGGCAGCAGUGAGGAAUAUUGGUCAAUGGGCGGGAGCCUGAACCAGCCAAGCCGCGUGAGGGAAGAAGGUACAGCGUAUCGUAAACCUCUUUUGUCAGGGAACAAAGGCGGGGACUAGUCCCCGGAUGAGGGUACCUGAAGCAAAAGCAUCGGCUAACUCCGUGCCAGCAGCCGCGGUAAUACGGAGGGUGCUAGCGUUAUCCGGAUUUCAUGGGUGUAAAGGGGGCGCAGACGGCAGCGCAAGCCAGGAGUGAAAGCCCGGGGCCCAACCCCGGGACUGCUCUUGGAACUGGGCGGCUGGAGUGCAGGAGGGGCAGGCGGAAUUCCUGGUGUAGCGGUGAAAUGCGUAGAUAUCAGGAGGAACACCGGUGGCGAAGGCGGCCUGCUGGACUGCGACUGACGUUGAGGCCCGAAAGCGUGGGGAGCAAACAGGAUUAGAUACCCCAGUAGUC
This 460-nucleotide ribosomal RNA is filed under the name uncultured bacterium. RNAcentral's name for it is "partial 16S ribosomal RNA". It matches the Rfam family "Bacterial small subunit ribosomal RNA", at positions 338 to 795 of the family's 1533-position model. The record is from RNAcentral.